Molecule: non-coding RNA, 72 nt
Organism: Megalops atlanticus (tarpon)
Lineage: Eukaryota; Metazoa; Chordata; Actinopteri; Elopiformes; Megalopidae
Source: the annotation of a GenBank genome assembly
AUUGCAGUGGCCAAAGGGUAAGGCAUUGGUCUUGUAAACUGAAGAGCAUGGGUUCAAACCUUUUCUGUACCA